CACGUAGGAGGCAAACGUUAUCCGGAUUUACUGGGCGUAAAGCGCGUGUAGGUGGUUCUGUAAGUAGGGCGUGAAAGCUCCCGGCUCAACUGGGAGAGGCCGUUCUAAACUGCAGAGCUAGAGGAUGGUAGAGGGAGGUGGAAUUCCAGGUGUAGCGGUGGAAUGCGCAGAUAUCUGGAGGAACACCAGUGGCGAAGGCGGCCUCCUGGACCAUUCCUGACACACAGACGCGAAAGCUAGGGUAGCAAACGGGAUUAGAUACCCGGGUAGUCCCU
Molecule: ribosomal RNA, 275 nt
Filed under: uncultured prokaryote
Description: partial 16S ribosomal RNA
Rfam family: Bacterial small subunit ribosomal RNA
Source: RNAcentral